CGAGUGCGAGGCUUCCGUCCUUGAGAUAGAAAGAUGGUCAAGGGCAGAGAAGAAAGGUUCUCUACAGCUUGUUUAUAAGAAUCUUGAGUCAGAGCAAAACUACCAGCACCAAACUGAUAACCCCAUUUACCAUACCAUGGGUGACCUUUCGUGAUGGCAUGUAGUAGACGUAAUUCCAAACCAUACUUCUUUGAAACAUCCAUCACGCUGAUUUUUCUUGCUCCAAGAACUUUACAGAGCCUAUCCCAGAAAUUCAUUAUAUGACUUCCAGAAAGCACCCUGGAACCACCUUCUCUACCGUUUACCCUGAGAAGAUGUCCAUAUCCAUUGGCAUGAAUCACACCAUGCAGAAGAUGACUGGUAUCCUCCAACUGAUUAUACAUCCAAUCCUCAACAUCUUCUGCAGUCAUGACAUGAUUGCAUGACUUGCACCUAGCCUCCGAUAACUGAAGAGCUUCACCACACCCAGCACAGGAUUUGUUAUAACCCCCAACUGAAUUUCCAUCUGCCUUAAUAAUAAAAUGGAAACGUUUUGCACAGACUGGAUUACUGCUCCAACCAACGACUCGGCACUGGUCGCAAUAAAUGGAUCUACAUCUGGCGACGUCUUCUUCGAUAACAUCGAGGCAGACAACAGCCGGAGAAGACUCGCCGUCUCCGUCGCCGUCAGUGAGGUCUCCGACGCGGAAGAGGAUCUGCCACGUCAGAAGGUGAGGAAACAACGAAGAAGGCGGCGGCAAAAUCGCAUGUUUCGAUAAAAACUCCUUCACCGUCGUCCUGAACGGUCCCGUACCGGCGGUAUUACCGUCGUCGGGGAAGGUAAGGAAAUCGUUGAGGUCCGCCGUUACUCUCCUCUUCAACCUCUUCAUCGGCCUACCAUUCACUACCAUACCUCCUUCUAACUGAACCCGGCGCGAAUCACCCAGAUCUCGGCGCGUGAGGUCGGAAAUCUCAAUCCUCGUCACCGAUCUGAACGGAAUACUCCUAGAUCGGACGUUUACUAUCCUAUCAAUGAACAAAAUUCCACAGAGAAGACGAGAGAUACAGAGACGAUGAGGUAAAGAGGAGUUGUGUUGUUGAGAGAGAAAGAGGAAAAGAAGGAGG
Molecule: unclassified non-coding RNA, 1104 nt
Filed under: Hevea brasiliensis (rubber tree)
Lineage: Eukaryota; Viridiplantae; Streptophyta; Magnoliopsida; Malpighiales; Euphorbiaceae
Source: RNAcentral